ACGAACGCUGGCGGCGUGCUUAACACAUGCAAGUCGAACGGUGAACGAGGGAGCUUGCUCCCUCCGGAUCAGUGGCGAACGGGUGAGUAACACGUGAGCAAUCUGCCCCGAACUCUGGGAUAAGCGUUGGAAACGACGUCUAAUACCGGAUACGACGCGGGAGGGCAUCCUCUCCGCGUGGAAAGAACUUCGGUUCGGGAUGAGCUCGCGGCCUAUCAGCUUGUUGGUGAGGUAACGGCUCACCAAGGCGACGACGGGUAGCCGGCCUGAGAGGGUGACCGGCCACACUGGGACUGAGACACGGCCCAGACUCCUACGGGAGGCAGCAGUGGGGAAUAUUGCACAAUGGGCGCAAGCCUGAUGCAGCAACGCCGCGUGAGGGACGGCGGCCUUCGGGUUGUAAACCUCUUUUAGCAGGGAAGAAGCGAAAGUGACGGUACCUGCAGAAAAAGCACCGGCUAACUACGUG
This 469-nucleotide ribosomal RNA is filed under the name uncultured bacterium. RNAcentral's name for it is "partial 16S ribosomal RNA". It matches the Rfam family "Bacterial small subunit ribosomal RNA", at positions 29 to 507 of the family's 1533-position model. The record is from RNAcentral.